GACGAACGCUGGCGGCGUGCUUAACACAUGCAAGUCGAACGGAAAGGCCCUGCUUUUGUGGGGUGCUCGAGUGGCGAACGGGUGGGUAACACGUGAGUAACCUGCCCUUGACUUUGGGAUAACUUCAGGAAACUGGGGCUAAUACCGGAUAGGAGCUCCUGCUGCAUGGUGGGGGUUGGAAAGUUUCGGCGGUUGGGGAUGGACUCGCGGCUUAUCAGCUUGUUGGUGGGGUAGUGGCUUACCAAGGCUUUGACGGGUAGCCGGCCUGGGAGGGUGACCGGCCACAUUGGGACUGGGCUACGGCCCAGACUCCUACGGGAGGCAGCAGUGGGGAAUAUUGCACAAUGGGCGGAAGCCUGAUGCAGCAACGCCGCGUGCGGGAUGACGGCCUUCGGGUUGUAAACCGCUUUCGCCUGUGACGAAGCGUGAGUGACGGUAAUGGGUAAAGAAGCACCGGCUAACUACGUG
Molecule: ribosomal RNA, 468 nt
Filed under: uncultured bacterium
Lineage: Bacteria
Description: partial 16S ribosomal RNA
Rfam family: Bacterial small subunit ribosomal RNA
Source: RNAcentral